Long non-coding RNA from Melanotaenia boesemani (Boeseman's rainbowfish), 545 nucleotides. RefSeq lists it as uncharacterized. The transcript has 3 exons. NCBI's taxonomy places the organism in Eukaryota, Metazoa, Chordata, Actinopteri, Atheriniformes, Melanotaeniidae. The record is from RefSeq and is a predicted model, not a curated record.
AAGACAUCAGUGAAGAAGCUGAUGACCUUGGAGGGCCCCGGCGGGAAUUCUUCCGUCUACUUGUAAAGGCAAUCUACAAAGAUAGUGGCGCAUUUGAAGAAUCCCCAAAUGGCUUCAUUCCAUGACUGAACAUUUCUCAUGUUCAAAAUGGAGUGUAUCGUACUAUUGGACAGAUGAUAUCUACCAUAAUUGUCCAAGGUGGUGAACCCCCAGCCCUCCUGUCUCCUCUUGUGGCAGACUACCUUCUGACAGGAAACAUCUUUGAGGUGAAUGCCACUCCUGAUGAUGUGGCUGACAUGGAACUGAGAGGAUCCCUGAAAAUGGUUGAUCAAGCAGAAAAUGAAGAUGAUCUGGCUCAAGCUGUGGAAUGCUGUGACUCAUGGAGAUACCAAAUUGAAGGACUUCCAAACCCAGUCAACAUGGAAAACAAAGAUGCAUUUGUGAAAAGUGCAGUACUUUUCCAUGUCCUCAUGCAACGAAAGAGCUGCUACGAUCAGUUGGCUGAGGGUUUGAAAUACUAUGGGGUAAGUUUAUUUUAAAGGCAA